GGGGGCGUAGCUCAGUCUGGGAGAGCGCUUGAAUGGCAUUCAAGAGGUCGAGGGUUCGAUCCCCUUCGUCUCCACCA
This 77-nucleotide transfer RNA is filed under the name Clostridiales bacterium. Its description in RNAcentral is "tRNA-Ala". It matches the Rfam family "tRNA". From Rfam's summary of the family: Transfer RNA (tRNA) molecules are approximately 80 nucleotides in length. Lineage: Bacteria; Bacillati; Bacillota; Clostridia; Eubacteriales. The record is from RNAcentral.